Molecule: non-coding RNA, 108 nt
Organism: Podarcis lilfordi (Lilford's wall lizard)
Lineage: Eukaryota; Metazoa; Chordata; Lepidosauria; Squamata; Lacertidae
Source: the annotation of a GenBank genome assembly
AGUAGCAGCUUAGAGACCAACUAAGUUAGUCAUUCGUAUGAGCUUUCGUGUGCAUGCACACGAAAGCUCAUACCAGUAACUAACUUAGUUGGUCUCUAAGCUACUACU